GAAUGCUGACAUAAGUAACGAUAAAGCGGGUGAAAAGCCCGCUCGCCGGAAGACCAAGGGUUCCUGUCCAACGUUAAUCGGGGCAGGGUGAGUCGACCCCUAAGGCGAGGCCGAAAGGCGUAGUCGAUGGGAAACGGGUUAAUAUUCCCGUACUUGGUGUUACUGCGAAGGGGGGACGGAGAAGGCUAUGUUGGCCGGGCGACGGUUGUCCCGGUUUAAGCGUGUAGGUGUGUGUUCCAGGUAAAUCCGGUUCACUUUAACACUGAGGCGUGACGACGAGGCACUACGGUGCUGAAGCAACAAAUGCCCUGCUUCCAGGAAAAGCCUCUAAGCAUCAGGUAACAUCAAAUCGUACCCCAAACCGACACAGGUGGUCAGGUAGAGAAUACCAAGGCGCUUGAGAGAACUCGGGUGAAGGAACUAGGCAAAAUGGUGCCGUAACUUCGGGAGAAGGCACGCUGACACGUAGGUGAAGUGAUUUACUCACGGAGCUGAAGUCAGUCGAAGAUACCAGCUGGCUGCAACUGUUUAUUAAAAACACAGCACUGUGCAAACACGAAAGUGGACGUAUACGGUGUGACGCCUGCCCGGUGCCGGAAGGUUAAUUGAUGGGGUCAGCGCAAGCGAAGCUCCUGAUCGAAGCCCCGGUAAACGGCGGCCGUAACUAUAACGGUCCUAAGGUAGCGAAAUUCCUUGUCGGGUAAGUUCCGACCUGCACGAAUGGCGUAAUGAUGGCCAGGCUGUCUCCACCCGAGACUCAGUGAAAUUGAACUCGCUGUGAAGAUGCAGUGUACCCGCGGCAAGACGGAAAGACCCCGUGAACCUUUACUAUAGCUUGACACUGAACAUUGAGCCUUGAUGUGUAGGAUAGGUGGGAGGCUUUGAAGCGUGGACGCCAGUCUGCGUGGAGCCGGCCUUGAAAUACCACCCUUUAAUGUUUGAUGUUCUAACGUGGACCCGUGAUCCGGGUUGCGGACAGUGUCUGGUGGGUAGUUUGACUGGGGCGGUCUCCUCCUAAAGAGUAACGGAGGAGCACGAAGGUUGGCUAAUCCUGGUCGGACAUCAGGAGGUUAGUGCAAUGGCAUAAGCCAGCUUGACUGCGAGCGUGACGGCGCGAGCAGGUGCGAAAGCAGGUCAUAGUGAUCCGGUGGUUCUGAAUGGAAGGGCCAUCGCUCAACGGAUAAAAGGUACUCCGGGGAUAACAGGCUGAUACCGCCCAAGAGUUCAUAUCGACGGCGGUGUUUGGCACCUCGAUGUCGGCUCAUCACAUCCUGGGGCUGAAGUAGGUCCCAAGGGUAUGGCUGUUCGCCAUUUAAAGUGGUACGCGAGCUGGGUUUAGAACGUCGUGAGACAGUUCGGUCCCUAUCUGCCGUGGGCGCUGGAGAACUGAGGGGGGCUGCUCCUAGUACGAGAGGACCGGAGUGGACGCAUCACUGGUGUUCGGGUUGUCAUGCCAAUGGCACUGCCCGGUAGCUAAAUGCGGAAGAGAUAAGUGCUGAAAGCAUCUAAGCACGAAACUUGCCCCGAGAUGAGUUCUCCCUGAGACUUAGAGUCUCCUGAAGGAACGUUGAAGACGACGACGUUGAUAGGCCGGGUGUGUAAGCGCAGCGAUGCGUUGAGCUAACCGGUACUAAUGAACCGUGAGGCUUAACCUU
This 1655-nucleotide ribosomal RNA is filed under the name Salmonella enterica. RNAcentral describes it as "partial 23S ribosomal RNA". It matches the Rfam family "Bacterial large subunit ribosomal RNA", at positions 1292 to 2925 of the family's 2925-position model. Lineage: Bacteria; Pseudomonadati; Pseudomonadota; Gammaproteobacteria; Enterobacterales; Enterobacteriaceae. The record is from RNAcentral.